CGUUGGUCAAGUUUUCCAUCUUCCUUUGUCUGCUUAAUAAUAAUAUUGACACAUCAAGCAAUGGUAGACUAUUUAAUUAUGGCCUGGCUACAUGGUGAAAAUAAUGGACAAAUAUUAAACCAUUUGUGUGAGGGCACUGAAAAGCUAUUGCAGCAGCAAGGAUUAGAGAUUACCAAGAUCUUGAAAAGAAGAGAAGUCCAGAGAGGAGAACUGAUUUUGAGUGUUAGACAUUUUCUUACUGAAAAGUGACAGUUGGGUGGCUGAUAGGCUGAGUGGAAAGUGGCUGAACCAUUAGGAGAAAUGCAGAACCAACUCUCACAGGUCUGGGUGGACAGACCCACCAAGGAGGAGGACUUCAAUCCAGGACCUCAGCUGCAUCCCCUACAGCGAAUCUUUGUAUUCUGCUCUUCCUUUCAUCGCUCCAGUUGCCCCUGAACACAGAGAUAGGUCAGUGAAGCCAAAUGGACCGGAUUUACAUCAGCUGCUAAGGCAAUCUUCAUGCAUAGAUCAACUGUCUGCUCCUUUUACAGUUUUAGUGAGACCUCUAAGGAGACAAAAGCGUUCAAAACAGACACAUGUGUACACAUACCUGCCCAUAUGCUGCAGCCCUGAGGGUGGAGACUAGUGUCCAUCCAAGAAGUUCUGAACAGGAGAAGAGGCAAGGACAAGUUGGAGACUUGUGAAAUUCCCGAAGCAGGGGGUAGCCUGACAUCAGAAUUGUUUACAAAAGGCAUGAAAAAGCGCUUUCAAUCUGUAGUCUUUUAGCUGUCUACCACUGGACGAAGAACUACCCAAACCAAGCCAGAUCUUGCUACCCUGAUGAAUCAGACCUGCCACUCAAGCAUAGUGUUAAAUGAUAUUAGCACAAAGGCAAUCACUCAGGUACUUCAAACUGCAUCUUAUCUACUGAUAGAAGAAAUGAAAGAUAGCAUUUAGUCUCUCUUAUGUGCAUUUUGUGCUAUGGUAGAUUUACAUCUGUUUCUAUUACCUGGGUAGGCGUGCACUGUUUUAUUUCCUCUCCAGGGAGUCUGUCCUUUAAAGCUGUGAUGUGGGCCCUGAACCUCCACUGCUAAAUUGCUACUUGGAAGGUGGACAUCAUCAUCAAGCACAGAAAACUUUGUAUUCUGGCACUUGGCAGGCUUAACUAAGGCUUGGACCCCUUCUCUAGUUAAAGAUGAUUUCCAAUACAUAAAACUGUUUUUAAGUGUUAAAAACCUGAAAAAGCAAAGCAUCUCCUGAUUUCAAGAAAUCUGUGUUAUGAUAUAUAUAUGAACUCAAGGGUCUAGAUUUGUAUUGUCCUUAUGGCAGCCAGCAG
Fukomys damarensis (Damara mole-rat) is the source of this 1315-nucleotide long non-coding RNA. RefSeq lists it as uncharacterized. NCBI's taxonomy places the organism in Eukaryota, Metazoa, Chordata, Mammalia, Rodentia, Bathyergidae. The record is from RefSeq and is a predicted model, not a curated record. The transcript is spliced from 4 exons.